This 1055-nucleotide long non-coding RNA is filed under the name Oryctolagus cuniculus (rabbit). Its description in RNAcentral is "lncRNA (ENSOCUG00000033789.1)". Lineage: Eukaryota; Metazoa; Chordata; Mammalia; Lagomorpha; Leporidae. The record is from RNAcentral.
GUUCAGUUAUGAAAAGGUAUUAUCCCUAUCUCAAGGAAUUCACAACUAAGAAAAACACAUUAACAAUAAAACAAUGACAGGAAGGCUUAAUGAUGGCAGGCACAAAUAAAAUAUUUUGGAUUGGUAGGAAGGAGAAUUCUAAGAUGGUUCCCAAGAUUCUCUGCUGACUUGUUAAUGAUUUUGGUCAAUGGGAAACACAAGCAGAAGUUGGAUAUUGAAAGGAAAGUUUUAGCUAUUUGCUCAUUCUCUCUCCCUUUGCUUCCCUGCUACUGAACUUGUACUAUGUGCCAAGUAUUAACCUGUGCAUAUUGGUAUUUAUUAGAACUUGGUUAAUCUUUCAUAACCUAGCUUUGAAUUGAAAAUUAUUGUCAUCCUUACUUUUUAAAUGAAACUAUGUAAAUUCUUAUGGAUCCUAGAGAGCAAAUUUGGGGCCAGAAUUAUAAUUCAUGUAACCUGACCUGACAGCCCUGACUCUAACCAUCUUCAUAUAUUAUGGUCAUCUUAGAUAACUCAAACUUAUCACUUAAGAGAGAAAACUUAAAUUUGAUUCUUGAAUAUGUUCAUUAGGAUCUCAAAAAAAUGUUUGAUUUACUCAUCAUUGAUUGUAAGAUAAAAUGUGGCAAAUAUAUGAUUCACUGUACUGGAAUCAAACUGAGAAGAUUUUCACAUCAAGCAGAUUUUUUAAAAAAUAGUAAUUACUUUAUUUUUAUUUAUUGGAAAGACAGAGAAAAGAGUUACAGAGAAAAACACAGACAAUGAGAGAUUUUCCAUCCACUGUAAGGAUGAAGAAACAAUUCCAUGGAGGGAAAAAAAGGCAAUCUUUUCAGGAAAUAAUCACAGAACAACUAGAUCACCACAUGAAAAAUGAGGAAGAUGGACUUACAGCUAACACUAUGUACAAAAAUUAACUCCAAGUGCAAAAAAAAAAAAAAAAAACACCUAAAAGUCAGAGCUAAAACCAUUAAUCCUUUAGAAGAAACAUUCAUCUUAGCUUUGGCAACAGUGACUUAAAUACUUAAAAGAAAACUGAGAAAUAAAAAAAGAUAAACUGGACA